CUAUGUACAGGUGCAGUAAUCUGUGAGCUGCUCUGACAGUUGGUGCUUAAAGCUAGUGAGGGAGAUAAGUGUUUCCAGUUUCAGAGAUUUUUGUAGUUCGUUCCAGUCAUUGGCAGCAGAGAACUGGAAGGAGAGGCGGCCAAAGAAAGAAUUGGCUUUGGGGGUGACUAGAGAGAUAUACCUGAUGGAGCGUGUGCUACGGGUGGGAGAUGCUAUGGUGAAUAUGCUAUGCUAUGCUGGAACGAAUUGCAAAAAUCACUGAAGCUGGAGACUCAUAUCUCCCUCACUAUUUUUAAGCAUCAGCUAUCAGAGCAGCUUACAGGUCAUUGCACCUGUACAUAGCCCAUCUGUAAAUAGCCCAUCCAACUACCUCAUCACCAUAUUGUUGUUUAUUUUAUUUAUAUUUUUUAUAAUUUUUUACUUUUUUAUAAUUUUGCCACUUCGGCCUAUUUAUUGCCUUACCUCCCUAAUCUUACUUCAUUUGCACACACUGUAUAUAGACUUUUGUAUUGUGUUAUUGACUGUAAGUUUGUUUAUUCCAUGUGUAACUGUGUUGUUGUUUGUGUCACACUGCUUUGCUUUGUCUUCGCCAGGUCGCAGUUGUAAAUGAGAACUUGUUCUCAACCUGCUUACCUGGUUGAAUAAAGGUGAAAUAAAAAAAAUAAUAUACUCUAUGUGGGAAUAUCUUAGGUCCAUCCUACAUGUAGUGUUGGUACAUGGAAUAUUCCUCAACUGCAUAUAUCAUAAAUUGCUAUUGUAAAUAGAAAUAUUAUGUUCAACAACUCACAUUUUCAGAUAUCAUUUUGACAAACACACUUUGGUGCAUACAAUUCAUUCUCUAUUGUCAUAGAUUUGGUGGGCACUGUCAUCUGGGAUCUUUGUGAUAUGACUUUCUUUAAGCACGUACUGAUGAAACUGUCACGUAAUAUUUUUUUCUUAAAGUCUAUAAACACUUUACAUUCAUUCACUCUGUGAUAGGGUUGGAUCCUAUAUGCUACUUUUAUUAGUGUCCUGUAAAUGGUUCAGUGCUUAUAAUUUAGGCUGUGUGGAAUGGGGCAUGAAGGAAAUUACCUCUACUUAUAAAUUCCUACUAGGUUAUAGUGAUAAGGAAAACAGCAUACACAUUUGGCUUGUGUAUUCAUUUGCCUAUAACUAAUCAUAAUUUAAUUAUUUUUUACAUAAAAAAGAGAAUACUUCAAAAUGAGAAGAUCCUGCCAUGGAAAAGACGACUGCGUGGACAUAAAGUGUAAAGGAGGGUAAAUAACUCACACCAUGCAGCAGGACACCUUCAGCUGUGGGGUCUUUGUAAUGCAGGUUUGAUAGUUGUAUUUUCAAUAAUUAAUGGUUAGCUGUUAUGUGACAAUUAGGUAAAAAACUAUAUUUUAUUUUUUGGUGUAGAUGGCCAAGGAAGUUGCUUCCCCAACAUCCCCUCCCAAAUUGAUAUGGAACCUUCAAAAACACAUGGCGAAACUGCAAAAGGAAAUGGUUGAGGAUGUACUAAAAAUGUCUGAGUUCAACAAAGCCAAGAACUGCUUCGUAUGUGCCACUGAUAAAGAACCUGGAUGUGGCUCAAAGACUGACUGGGAAUGAAGACAAAAGAGUUCAACAGAGUAAAGAACACAAACUGGAAGUGCAGUCGGUUGUUGUUGAAAACGUAUGCUGUACCCCAUCCACACUGAAGAGGCUCUGACAUGUACAUCAACCAGGGAUCAAGAGAAAGUUAACACUGUAAAAUAUUUCAUACUUAAUUGAAGAUAAGUGUCUGAUGACAUGUUGGAAAAGAUUAAAGGUCUACAAUUUCU
Molecule: long non-coding RNA, 1802 nt
Organism: Oncorhynchus nerka (sockeye salmon)
Lineage: Eukaryota; Metazoa; Chordata; Actinopteri; Salmoniformes; Salmonidae
Exons: 3
Source: RefSeq, a predicted model, not a curated record